UGCCAGACUCCUACGGGAGGCAGCAGUGGGGAAUAUUGGGCAAUGGAGGCAACUCUGACCCAGCAACGCCGCGUGAAUGAUGAAGGUCUUCGGAUUGUAAAGUUCUUUUCUAAGGGAAGAAGAAAGUGACGGUACCUUAGGAAUAAGCCUCGGCUAACUACGUGCCAGCAGCCGCGGUAAUACGUAGGAGGCAAGCGUUAUCCGGAAUGACUGGGCGUAAAGGGCGCGUAGGUGGUUUAGCAAGUUAGUAGCGUAACUCCGGAGCUCAACUUCGGAACUACUACUAAAACUGUUGAACUUGAGUGCAGGAGGGGCAACUGGAAUUCCUAGUGUAGCGGUGGAAUGCGUAGAUAUUAGGAGGAACACCAGUGGCGAAGGCGAGUUGCUGGACUGUAACUGACACUGAGGCACGAAAGCGUGGGGAGCGAACAGGAUUAGAUACCCGCGUAUC
This 451-nucleotide ribosomal RNA is filed under the name uncultured bacterium. Its description in RNAcentral is "bacterial SSU rRNA". It matches the Rfam family "Bacterial small subunit ribosomal RNA", at positions 329 to 794 of the family's 1533-position model. The record is from RNAcentral.